This 3063-nucleotide long non-coding RNA is filed under the name Canis lupus familiaris (dog). RNAcentral describes it as "lncRNA (ENSCAFG00030002308.1)". The record is from RNAcentral. Lineage: Eukaryota; Metazoa; Chordata; Mammalia; Carnivora; Canidae.
AUGCAGCCACAGCACAUCCAUCCUGGCGAGCAGCUCUACCCAAGGUCAAACAUUCAUGCAAAACGGCAGCCAAGAUCUGCAUGUCUAAAUGCCAGCAGCAAGAAGGCCUGCAAGACGAUUCUGAAAACCAAACCGGGAAAAGGGAAAGAAGGAGGAGGCAAGACAGGGGGAAGUGCGGAGGGGAAGGAGGCUCAAAGGAAAAGCAGGAGGGGUGGCUACAGCGAUUCUUACCGGGGGGCACGCAGUGGGAAAACCUGGAGGGCCCCCCACCCCCUAAACCAAGGUUACAAGGUGGGCUCUCCACCUCCUCAGGAGCCGGAGCCUCUGAAUGGGAGCUGCUCAAAUAUAAUAACUCGACUUUUUAAAUAAUUAAACGAGGCAAACAAAUACAUGAAAAGGUGCUCAGUAUCACCACUGAUCAUGAGAGAGAAGAAACUAAAACCAUAAUGAGAUUCUACUACACACCCAGUGGCUAAAAUUCAAGACUGACGAUUCUAAGUGUUGGCAAGGAUGUGGAGCGACCAGAAGUCUCACCCAUCCCUGGUGGAUAUGUGAAACGACACAGCUCCGCUGGAAAGGUAUUUGGCAGCUCCUUGAGAAGCUAGACAUACACGUACUAUAUGCCCCAGAAGCCUCAGGCCUACAAAUUUGCCCAAGAGAAAUGCAAACAUGUCUUCACACAAGGAUCUGGGUAAGAAUGCUCCUGGUGGCUUUAUUUAUAAUAUGCCCCGACUGGAGGCACGCAAAUGUUUAUUAUCUAGUGACUAGGUCAACACAGUGAGGUACAUCCUUUCACCAGAAGCCUACCCUCUGAUAUAAAAGGAAAGAACUACUGAUACAUGAGACGAGGAUGAAUCUCAAAAGCUUUAUUUUUUAAGAUAUUAUAUUUUUUUAAAUGAUGUCUACACUCAACAGAGGGCUCAAAACCAAGAUCGAGAGUCACAUACUCCACCAACUGAGCCAGCUGGGGCACCCCUCAAAAGCAUUAGACUAAAUGAAAGAAGGCAGAGAUAGUGUGACCCACAAAAGACCAGACCCAGAAAAGCAUCAUGUAUGAUUCAGUUUAUAUGAAAAUUCUAGGGACAACAUAAUUAUAGGGACAGGAAGCCUGUGGAGAAGAGGGGUGGGGUGGAGCAUCCUCAAAAGGAUACAAGGGAAUUCUUGGAGGUGAGGCCAAUGGUCUGCAUCUUGACAGUGGUGGUUCCAUAGGUAUAUAUGUUUCUAGUUUUAUUUUUGUAAAAAGUUUUGGGUUUUUUUUUAGAGAAGUUUUAGGUUUGCAGCAACAUUGAGAGAAAGGCACAGGGGUUUCCCAUAAACCCUUGAGCCCUGACACACACACAACCUUUCCCACCAUCAACGUCUCCCACCAGAGAGGUAGGUGCCUCUGUCACCAAUGAUGAGCCUACAUUGAAAUAUAAUAUCACUGUAAGUCCUUAGCAGCAUACAGUAGGGUCCCCUCUUGGUGUCGUACCUUGUGUGGGUUUGGACAAAGGAAUAGUGAUAAGUAUCCAUUAUAGUGUCAUACAGAGUAGUUUCACCGCCCCCAAAAACCCUUUGCUUUGCCAAUUCAUCCCUCCUUCCCCUCCCCCCUUGGUUACCCCGAUCCUUUCACCAUCUCCAUCGUUUUGCUUGUCCCAGAAUGUCAGGGAGUUGGAAUCAUACGGCACGGAUCCUUUCCAGAUCAUCUUCUUUCACUUAGUGAUAGGCCUUUAAGCUUCCUCCGUGUCUUUUCGCGGCUUAUUAACUCUUUUCUUUUUUUAGUGCUGAAUAGUAUGCCAUUGUCCGGAUGGGCCCCACUUUGUUCACCCAUUUACCCUCUGAACGACAUCAUGAUUGCCUCCAAGUUUGGGCAGUUAUGAAUAACGCCGCUCUAAACGUCCAUGCGCAGGUUUUUGUGUAGACGUAACUUUCUAACUCCUUUGGGUAAAUACCAAAGAGCAAGAAUAUAUUUAGUUCAGUUUAGUUUUUUUUAAUUUUUUAAAUUUUUAAAUUUUAUUUUAUUAUUUUUUUAUAUAUUUAGUUUUGUGAGAAACUGCCCGGCUGUCUUUCAAAGUGGCUGUACCACUUGGCCCCCAGCAGCCAGAGCUGCCACAAUUUGAGCGAUGAAAUAAAUUCUGUAUUGGAUUAUAGCCCGAAGUGUAAAAUAAAUGCCUAGGAGUCUAUACUGACAUAAAUAAAUGACUGAAUAAAUAAUAAAAGUUAGAGAACAGACAAGUCCCCCUUGCCGGAGAGUUCCUAAUGUAGUUUAGGUAGAUGCUCCCCGCUCCGUCGCUUAAGUAUGGGCUGUACCUAGCGUCUUCCUCUUAAAUAGCACAGCAUAGAAAGGGGUGAAACAGUAAAUUUACUUUGGAGAAAGCAGAGAAACACCAGGUCAGCCAGCUGGACAAGCUCCUCCUCAACAGCCAGGGGGGAUGGCUCCUUGAUAGGAAGCCAUUACCCCCGUGCUCUUCCCUCCCCGGAACGCACAGACUUGGUCUAAUCUUGAGGAAAAUAUCAGGCAAAUCCAAACUGAGGGACGUCGUACAACACACCUGACCCAUUAUCCACAAAACCAUCAAGGUCAUCGACAACAAGGGAAGAUGAGAAACAGGCCCAGUCUCGAGGAGCCUGGGGCGACAUGGCACCUAAGUGUGACGUGGUGUCCUGCACAGGAUCCUGGAGCAGAGAAAGGGCAUUAGGGGAUAAAAACCCCACAGAAAUCUGAACAAAUCAUGGAAUUUAUUUAUUUAUUUAUUUAUUUAUUUAUUUAUUUAAGAUUUUACUAAGUAGGGGCACCUGGGUGGCUCAGAGGUUGAGCAUCUGCCUUCGGCCCAGGGCGUGAUCCUAGGGUCCCGGGAUCGAGUCCCACGUCGGGCUCCCUGCAUGGAGCCUGCUUCUCCCUCUGCCUGUGUCUCUGCCUCUCUCUCUCUCUGUGUCUCUCAUGAAUAAAUAAAUAAAAUCUUUUAAAAAUAAUAAUCUUGUGUCAACACUGGCUCACUGAUUUUAACAACUAAACAACUAUACGGUACUAAUGUUAGACGCUAAUAAUAGGGAAAACCAGGCGUUGGGUGCAUGGGGACUCUG